This is a long non-coding RNA of Scylla paramamosain (green mud crab), 2190 nucleotides long. RefSeq lists it as uncharacterized. Lineage: Eukaryota; Metazoa; Arthropoda; Malacostraca; Decapoda; Portunidae. The record is from RefSeq and is a predicted model, not a curated record. The transcript is spliced from 2 exons.
CGUGCAAUAAAAAAGUAUAAAGAUUUUAAUUUGUAUUACACAAGCCAAGGUUCUCUCCUCCCAAUCACAAGAAGUAGCUCUCAUCACCCUUAGAAUGACCUUUCCUAAUCUGUGUGAUGAAAAAACCCUUAUGGCCUCGUUCCUUAUCACACUUUCAGCAUCACACACACACACAACACACACACACAUACCAUGUAGCGAAGUGGUUACCACGCUGGGCUCACAACCAAGAAGGCCCGGAUUCGAAUCCCGGGCGCGGCGAGGCAAAUGAGCGAGCCUCUUAAUGUGUAGCCCCUGUUCACCUAGCAGCAAGUAGGUACGGGAUGUAACCCAAGGGGUUGUGACCUCGGUGUCCCGGUGUGUGGUGUGUCAGUGGUCUCAGUCCUACCCAAAGAUCGGUCACUAUGAGCUCUGAGUUCUUUCCGUAGUGGAACAGUGGAAUGACUGGCUUGGGACCAGCAGUCGACCGUAGGUGAAUCACACACACACACACAGACACACACACUGAGAACUUCCUGUCUGCCUGUCAGGAUCAGAGUCAGAACUCAGAGGAUAUCCUGGCAUCACCGGGUCACCACGCGCCUCCUCGCGGCGACACACUACAGUGACUACACACUACAUACCUGACACACUACAAGCCUCCAGACAUGAAGAACACGCCCGCCUUCCUCCUCCUCUUCCUCCUCCUUCUGCUGCUGUUAUUGGCGCAGGGGAGAUACCAAACCCGUGCCCUGGCCCUGCAAUGUUCCCCCAGUUUCCAAACCGUGGACCAUGAAUACUCCUACAUUACCAGUGCAUCCACAACCAAAGGUGACCAAAUAAGCAGAACCAUGUAUGUGCGUCCACAGCGAUACUUGAAAGUCAUGCUGAGAGUGUUUGAAAGCGCCAAGUUUUGGCACCAAGUUUUUGGCUACUACACCUGCGAGUUCUUCCUGGAAAAAGACUGUUUCAAGGGUGACCGGCUGUGGUGGGACGAACUGUGGGUGUGGGUGAAAGAUAUGGGCACAUACAUAUAUUACAGCCAAGUGUGGACAACAUACGAAUUUCAAGUGAGGACAAGCACGUGUAUCAAGCCGUGUAUCAGGAAACUCAACAUGCAAGGUGUUGGCAGCCUCCAGGUCUGGGCUUCCGGCGCCUCACAAUGGAGACUUGACCACCCGGGGGCACAAUGCAGCCACAUCUAUCAAUGGAGGAGAGACAGCUACUGGUGGCCCUUCCCCACGUGCAAAGAUGUAACCCUUUCAUCGCUCUUAAUAACUCCUGUCAAGCACACAACCCCUACCAAUCCCGCAACAACCCCUAACAACCCCACAACAAUCCCUACCACGGCCACAGCAAUCCCUGCCACACCCACAACAACCCCUGCCACGGCCACAUCGCAUGCAUGCACGCUCCCAUUCACUGUGACCCCCGGAGUCGUAGAAGGCGUACUUGCAGUAACAGUAGUUGUGGUGGUGAUAGUGGUGGUGGUGGUGGUGGUGAAGCAGCGUGGUGAGGCAGCAGUGGAAGCUGUACCAGUGCGCCCACGGAACACACAGUAGAAUCACCACGUGAAUAAGAUGUCAGCAGCCUGCAUGAACCUGCUGCUGACAGACAAGACUCCCGAGUCUUUUCUUCCUUGCUUUUAUUUAUCGUUUUUUUUUUUUUAUUUUAUAAUCCCAUGAAGGCUCUUUUUGCUCUUUCCUAUUUCUAGUAUAAGACAUUUUUUUAGCAAUUAAUUGUUGUUUCAAACACAUCACAGUGCUUUUAUGAUGGAAAACUGAUCAUAUAUCUUGUCUAAGCUCUACUGUUAAGUUCUCUGUGAAAAGAGCAAAAUAAAAAGUUAGUGUGUUUACAUUUUCGUUUCACUUUCCAACCAUUCUGCCUGUCUGCGUUGCAAGGAGAGGCGGCACACGUCUCCGUGAGGGCGAGGCACGCAGGCCGCCGCGCCACGCACACCAGCCCCGGGAAGUUGUGUCCCAUUGCCCAAAAUGUUUCGUAAAAAAGAAAAGAAAAAGGUAUUAUUUUAUUCCUUCAUCAUUAGGCUCUAGAGCAGGGCUUCCCAACCUGGGGCACAUGUACCCCCAGUGGUACACGUGCACGUUUGUGGGGUACAUUGGGUGUCAGACAAUAACCACUGCUGUGCAAUGCUUGGUCUUGUAACCUACAGUCACAUUGCACAUUGUCGUGUUUUUUUCUCAAUUUCCUCAU